RNAcentral lists this long non-coding RNA (268 nucleotides) under Solanum lycopersicum (tomato). Its description in RNAcentral is "long non-coding RNA (SLYC_LNC000249)". The record is from RNAcentral. Lineage: Eukaryota; Viridiplantae; Streptophyta; Magnoliopsida; Solanales; Solanaceae.
GCCGGCGGAAUUGGGGCGGCCGUCGGCAACCCUGCUGACGUGGCAAUGGUACGGAUGCAGGCCGACGGGCGGCUACCCGCCGCGCAACGGCGGAACUACAAGAGCGUGGUGGAUGCAAUAACCCAAAUGAGCAAAAACGAGGGCGUUACUAGCCUGUGGCGCGGUUCAUCCCUUACGGUGAACCGCGCCAUGCUGGUGACGGCCUCACAGCUUGCGUCUUACGACGAGUUUAAGGAGAUGAUUUUAGGUAAGGGUUUGAUGAAAGACG